This 424-nucleotide ribosomal RNA is filed under the name uncultured prokaryote. Its description in RNAcentral is "bacterial SSU rRNA". It matches the Rfam family "Bacterial small subunit ribosomal RNA", at positions 355 to 796 of the family's 1533-position model. The record is from RNAcentral.
UUGGGCAUAUUGGACAAUGGGGGCAACCCUGAUCCAGCCAUGCCGCGUGGGUGAAGAAGGCCUUAGGGCUGUAAAACUCUUUCAGCGGGGAAGAUGAUGACGGUACCCGCAGAAGAAGCCCCGGCUAACUCCGUGCGAGCAGGCGCGGUAAUACGGAGGGGGCUAGCGUUGUUCGGAAUUACUGGGCGUAAAGGGCGUGUAGGCGGUUUGUCUAGUCAGGCGUGAAAGCCCCGGGCUCAACCUGGGAACUGCGUUUGAUACUGGCAGGCUAGAGGUUGGAAGAGGAGAGUGGAAUUCCCAGUGUAGAGGUGAAAUUCGUAGAUAUUGGGAAGAACACCAGUGGCGAAGGCGGCUCUCUGGUCCAUACCUGACGCUGAGGCGCGAAAGCGUGGGGAGCAAACAGGAUUAGAUACCCCCGUAGUCC